GUGAGGUUGAAGCAUCAGAAUGCCAACAUGCGACUGGAUUCUAGAAUGGAGAUCCAGGGAGGCAGAUGGAAAUGAAAAUCACUCAACAUAAAGGGAAAGCAAAACCACCAGGAUUACAAAGAGAAAUUGACAAGCCCGCUGUCUGAGUGGGAGAUUUUAACGAUCUAUCAGACACAGCUACAUCAAGCAGACAAAAAACAGAGGUCAGCUGGUAUACCGCUCAACUUACAGCAUGAUUUGGUUGCCAUCGGGCUAUAUGGACACCUCUCCCUUCAUGGAGAAAUGCUAAAAUCACAGAAGUCCUGCUAUCACAAUGCUGUUGGGAUCUUCUUCUCUAUCAUGUAAGCUGAAAGAGGGAUCCCUGGGUGGCGCAGCGGUUUGGCGCCUGCCUUUGGCCCAGGGCGCGAUCCUGGAGACCCGGGAUUGAAUCCCACAUUGGGCUCCCGGUGCAUGGAGCCUGCCUCUCCCUCGGC
Molecule: long non-coding RNA, 473 nt
Organism: Canis lupus familiaris (dog)
Lineage: Eukaryota; Metazoa; Chordata; Mammalia; Carnivora; Canidae
Exons: 3
Source: RefSeq, a predicted model, not a curated record